Long non-coding RNA from Oreochromis niloticus (Nile tilapia), 3843 nucleotides. RefSeq lists it as uncharacterized. Lineage: Eukaryota; Metazoa; Chordata; Actinopteri; Cichliformes; Cichlidae. The record is from RefSeq and is a predicted model, not a curated record. The transcript is spliced from 2 exons.
UCUGGAAUACCAGAAAACACAAGAUUAUCUCUCAUGCUACGGGCUUGUAAAUCCAUAACGGUCUCUUUUAUUUUUUUAUUUUCUAUGUUUAAUUGGGUCACAUUUUCGGUUAGAGAUUUGACCGAGUCCCGUAGCGUGGCGUUUUCUGCAGCAAGUGUUUCCACCUGCUUCUGGCUGAACUCCAGGGAUUCUUUUAGAGAUUGAAAUUCCCGGUGUAAGAUCUCUACCAGGGACAGCCUCGCAUCAAAACUGGACAAUCGCUUAUCGAUUGACUCCAGGAUGUCGACGAUAUCUUUGCCGGCAGGCGAUGUUGUGCCGGGGGAGUCUGCCGGGCGAUAUCUUUUAGAUGAUGGCGUCUCAGUUUUGGCCGGGGAAGACAUGCUCUGGGCCUUCUUCAUUACUAAAUCUUCGAAGCACUGGUCGAUGUAUUCUUGGAGAGCGUCUAAACUCUCCUCGUUGUCCUCCAGGGUGUUAAAGAUGAUAGGACAGAUGUUGUUAGUUAUAUGACAGUUGGUUAGUUUAUUUGGCAAUACUGAAGAUUAAAGAAACUUUGUUAAAUUCUAGGCUACCAUUCGUUUGUUUUUGUUUUUUUCCGCCAAAUCGCCGGCGUCUGACGUCACCUACAACAUGGGUCCUUACCUUACCGCCGUCACUUCCGUCACUAAAUAUUUUUUUGAAUUUUACUAACUUUCAAUAUACAAUUGAAUUUUGCCCAGUCUUUAUUUAAUGUCCAAAAUGGUCGGGAGUGUAUGGAAUUUCCCAUGCACCACUGAAUGCACCGUAGGUGUGCAUGUCCGCAGCUUCAGCUCAGAGACAAACAGCCACCGAACAACGUUGAUGUUCUACUUCACUCAGUUAUGUUUGUGUUUAGCCAUGAGUGUAUUUGAUGACUUACCAGCAGUUUUUUCUGCUUCUGUUAAAAUGAGGUUAUGCGUAAGUGGCAGUUUGCUACUGAAAGAUUUAAUUCCUAACUGGCUUCUAGCAGAGAGGUUUGUUGUUAUUGUGUUGUUCUUUCUGUCCUCUGUGUACUGGAUGAUAAACAGUGUAAAGUUGUCUUCAUUGCAUAGCUGUAUGCUAGAUUAAUUCAUAAUAUCUGACUUUAAGUUUACAUAACCAGUGUGAAGCAAUAUGUCUGUUUAUUUAGUUAUAUACUGUAUUUGAGUACUGCUCAGCUCUAUCUUCAUGUUUACAAUGUAAUUUGGUUUCUGAUAUUGCUUUGCUUUGCUUUGUCUACAGAAACCACACACACACACACACACACACACACACACACACACACACACACAAGAAUGACAACUUUAUUCUUGGAGUCUGCCACUCUCAUCUGAACAUUUAUAAGUGUUCUGACCUGACACGCUGAAGUGAUUGCUGGAACCUCAGAUUUCAUGAAACCUUAAAAACAUUUACUUUUACUACUUUCAGCUCGACUUCAGUCUACAUAUCAUCAAACGUUCUACCAUCAGCUGUUGGUAUCAGCUGUUACCCUCUAGGCAGUUUUCGGACAGCUGGCUUCCAGAAAUUAUAACGUCCUGACCGUUAAGGUCCUGUUCUUCCGGCCUCUUCUCGCUGGGUUUGUUCUACAGUCCAUACUCUGCCCUGUCUCCUCCACUCUGAGGUACACUGCAUCAGAACUACUCUAUCUACGCUUCCAGCAUCUCUGCCCUUCCACUGGCUUUACUGCUUCACCCGGACAUUGCCUGGUGCCCGAGUCCAAAGUAAUGUCCACAGCAGAUCCAGACAGAAUUAUAGGAUCGACAGCAUUAGCCUGAUACCAUCCCUGUGGUCAUCUCACCGUUGCUCCACUAGGAAGCCUGGUGGACAGACUGCUGACUGUAGUGUGCUUGCUAGCCUUGCCAGAGACCUGUCAUCAUCCAAAUGAUUUCCUCGAACUCAGUCUGACCACUCUGCUUGGAUUUGUUUACACCUGCCAACCCCGUGUGUCUGGACGUGGGGGUGACCUUGCGAUCUUAUACAACAGCAAGUAUAAGGUAUCUUCUCUUUCUGCUCCUGCCUAUUCCUUGUUUGAAUCCAUGAUGAUACAAAUUAACGGACCAUUUCCCACGAUUUUAGUUGCUGUUUACUUUCCACCUAAACCAAACUCUGAUUUUUCAAUGGACUUUUCUGACUUUCUUGCUGAAAUUCUGCUCUUAUCUCCAAAUAUGCUACUGCUGGGAGUUUGAAUAUCCCCAUGGACAGCACAUCAAAUUCAUCCACAAGAGAUUUUAUAUCCUGUCUCGAAUAUUUCUGCUUACAGCAAUAGAUGAACGUCCCCACACACUCCAAAGGACAUAUUUUGGAUCUUGUCUGCUGUACUGGUGUCACCCCAAAGAACUGUGCUGUAUCGGUCAUGCCUUUUUCAGAUCAUAAAUUUGUUUUAUUCAGUGUUAGUCUCCCACUGUACAAAGAUAAUCAAAACCGCAGAACAACAAAAUAAGACGGUUAAAAGCCUGGAGAGCUUUGUAUUAAUUACUAAACAGUUCAGCAUCAUUGCUCAAAUAGAACUACAUACUGUACAGGUGCAUUGUGUCAUUACCAUGAUUUUCUUAUUUAGGACUGAUGUUAACAUGAAAAAGACAGUGGUACAAAUGAGUAAACAGCCCAAUAACACGGGGUUUUGGUGUUUAGAAAGCAGAGAGCCAAAGGUACUAAUUAAGCAAACAAGCACUCAUUUGUUUACAACCUGUGACUGACAGGUCAUUAGGAUAUAUGCAUACUGUAGGUAAUCUUCUAUUCCUACUCUAAUAAUCAGUGUUAAACUAAUACAUCACCAGCAGGGGGCUCACUAUGACACACUAACCAGUAAUAUUGCACGUAAAGGAAGAAAAUUUAUAUGAUAUCAAAGUCUUGUCAAAUGUUCAAGUUGACAGUUUUGUGCAUGUUUCUGUGUAUCAUGACCAUUUUACUUUUCACUGCUGUAUUUUUGACUCCAAAUGUCUAAAACUGACACUGCAGCAAAGUGGGGACUUCUUUAAAUAGUUCAAAACAAUAAACCAAACCAAAAACUAAUAUAUAAAAUAGAAUAAAUGUAAUGUUUAAUUACUGUAUGUAAACAAAUUUGAUUGUAUUUCACUUUGUGUAUUUGUUCACUUAAAAAUCAUAUUGAGAUUUUGCAUUAUUGGGUUUUGACAUUUUUAAAAAACACAGAGCACAUAUUUUUAUGAACACUAAGCAAUAAAAAGCAAAGCUAUGAACCACAGAUACCUUACAGUUAGUUCCAUUCAUAAUUGGACACUGACAUAAGUUUUGUUUUUUUACCCCUUUACCAGAACAUAUUCUAAUUAUAGUUAUACAAUGGACAUUGACGUAAUGUGUAGACUCUCAGCUUUUCAUUUUCGGGGUAUUCACAGUCAAAUUGAAUAAAGGGUUUUGGAGUUUCAGCUUCUUAACAUGUGCCAACUGCUUUUUAAAGGGACCAGAAGUAACUGGACAACUCAAAGGCUGUUUCAUGGGCAGGUGUGGGCACUUCCUGUAUUAUGCCAUUAUUAAUUAAGCAGAUAAAGGGCCUGGAGUUGAUUUAAGGUGUGGUGCUUGCAUUUGGAAUAUUUUGCUGUGAACAGACAACAUAUGGCCAAAGGAGCUCUCCAUGCAGGUGAAAAAAGCCAUCCUUAAGCUGAGAAAACAGAAAAACCCAUCUGAGAAACUGCUUCAAGUGAUGAAAUCUACAGUUUGCUACAUCCUGAGAAAGAAAGCAGUGAUAAGCUCAGCAAUGCAAAAAGACCUGGAUGUCCAUGGAAGACAACAGCAGUAGAUGAUCGCAGAAUCAUUUCAUGGUGAAGAGAAACCCCUUCACAACAGCCAACCAAGUGACAACACUCUCCAGGACGUAGGUGUAUCGAUAUCCAA